RNAcentral lists this ribosomal RNA (475 nucleotides) under Uperoleia littlejohni (Littlejohn's toadlet). Its description in RNAcentral is "partial 16S ribosomal RNA". It matches the Rfam family "Bacterial large subunit ribosomal RNA", at positions 1851 to 2553 of the family's 2925-position model. Lineage: Eukaryota; Metazoa; Chordata; Amphibia; Anura; Myobatrachidae. The record is from RNAcentral.
GGUCCCGCCUGCCCAGUGACCCAAUUCAACGGCCGCGGUAUCCUGACCGUGCGAAGGUAGCGUAAUCACUUGUUCUUUAAAUAAGGACUCGUAUGAACGGCACCACGAAGGCUGCACUGUCUCCCGCCUUUAAUCAGUAAACUUAAUCUCCCCGUGAAGAAGCGGGGAUGUAACCAUAAGACGAGAAGACCCCAUGGAGCUUAAAACAUAAGGCACCUGCUAACAAAUAAAGUUAAGCACAUUGACCCCACGUUUUCGGUUGGGGCGACCACGGAGAACAACCCACCCUCCAUGCUGAAAGAUAAUAUCUUAGCCAAAAAUAACCCAUUUAAGCACCAGAACCCUGACAUCCAUUGACCCAAUCUAUUUGAUCAACGAACCAAGUUACCCUGGGGAUAACAGCGCAAUCCACUUCAAGAGCCCCUAUCGACAAGUGGGUUUACGACCUCGAUGUUGGAUCAGGGUCCCCAAGCGG